CUUGAACUCCUCGACUCAAGCAAUCCCCCUGCCUCAGUCUCCUAAACAGUUGGGAUUACAGGUCUUCCUUCACUGCUGUCUGAGUUGAAUCUUCUGUUUCCUGGAUCCCAUGUGUUCCCCUCUCUGCCAUCGCAAAUCCCCAAGGAACUUCCCCGGAAGAGCUCAACUGUGGUUCAGCGAGUCCAGGCAGGGCCUGGCUGCGCUUGACUCUGGACUGCGGAUCAGCUCCCGGUCUGCUCCAACCGUCUUUUGUCCCACGUGAACCAGCAGCUGCCGGACAGAUGCCUCUCUUGGUGAAAGACACACCAAGCCCACAGCAAACAUAUUUCAAGUUUCUGCUGGGUCACAUCUGUUUCCAUCUGAUUAGCCGAAGCAAGUCACACGGCUAAGCCCAACAGCAAUGAGGCCAGGAAGUGCGCCCCUCCCACAGAGCUCAGGGGAAAGGAGUGAAUAUCUGCUAGGUAAUAAUACAAUCUUCCACAGCGUGUAGUUCUAAAAAUGUCUUUAUUCCAGGCCAGGCACGGUGGCUCACACCUUGUAA
Long non-coding RNA from Rhinopithecus roxellana (golden snub-nosed monkey), 541 nucleotides. RefSeq lists it as uncharacterized. The record is from RefSeq and is a predicted model, not a curated record. The transcript has 3 exons. NCBI's taxonomy places the organism in Eukaryota, Metazoa, Chordata, Mammalia, Primates, Cercopithecidae.